UCCAUGUGGCUGGUGUUGCACGCCUGGAUCUAUCUUCAUCUAAUGUUUUAUUAGAUGCAGAGGAUAAUAUACGCAUAUCUGAUUUUGGCUUUGGGUAGGUGUCAACUCAAGUCAACAAAGCCUUUUCCUAAUUUUUUAUUUUAUUUUUUCUAUUUAUGUAUCUUUUUAAUUUUUUAUUCAGUAAAUAAGUGCGGUAAAUUUGUACAAUGCAGCUCGACUAUAUGACCACCAAACGAAAGUUGACACCGUGGAUGAUAUAUUCAGCCUUGGUCUCAUUUUUGCUGAGAUUUAUAAACAUUUGCUCACAGAGCAUGAGAGGUCUGAGCUUUUACAAAAUCUGGGGGAGAAGAGAGAUUUUCCAGAAAUCUGGAUUAAUGAAGAACACAAGCAGUUAAUGCAAAAAGUAUCAUCUCUUCUUGCUGGUUAGAGCUCAUCUCCAAGUGGAAUGCGGCAGCAACAGCAACAGGUUUCUUCUAGUUCAGAUAAACAAGAAAUACAAACUCUUGGUGACAGUGAGGGUAAAGAGCCUGAUGUGAAGAAAAUGAGGUUAUAGUGUUAUAGCAAGUGUACUGUGUAAAUAACAGGGGGACUAUUCUUGGUUGAGCUUAAGAUCCUCCUUUAGAAUAGAAUUUGUUUGAAACUGUUUUUGACUGUAUAUGACAAUGCAAUUGUAUAUAGAAUAAGGUUGGAGGACUGCUCAAAAUAUUACCCUUAGUCAAAGAGAUGAAUUUGUGAAGAUAUUCUUAGUUACCAUACCCAAUAAUGACCAUAAAGUUGGAAAAAGAUAAAAGCUUCUAUCUUCUAUUUCUGUUCACUUCUUUGGAGCUUUGGCUGCUUCCAGAUU
Cornus florida is the source of this 844-nucleotide long non-coding RNA. RefSeq lists it as uncharacterized. Lineage: Eukaryota; Viridiplantae; Streptophyta; Magnoliopsida; Cornales; Cornaceae. The record is from RefSeq and is a predicted model, not a curated record. The transcript has 3 exons.